Long non-coding RNA from Vigna unguiculata (cowpea), 840 nucleotides. The record is from RefSeq and is a predicted model, not a curated record. NCBI's taxonomy places the organism in Eukaryota, Viridiplantae, Streptophyta, Magnoliopsida, Fabales, Fabaceae.
UACACUGCCAAUAAUACAAGUGCACACUUUCUAUGCAACAAAAAUGGAUCUGGUUUCAAGUUUGGUUCAAGAAAGUAAUUUCAUUCUACGCAGUUCACAACAAACUGACAUUAGCUACAUUUUUAUUAUUAGAUGGGAUCCAGUUUCAAAGAAAAAACAUUAUUGUUUCUGUGACAUCACUUAGCCAAUCAUAAUUUUUGCUCAGGUAACUCAAGGAAAAAAUCCAUCUCUCAGCACUUUGUUGCUAACUGUGGUGUCAAUGAAGUUUGCUUAUGGUAAUUAGGAGAGAAUGAACACUAAUGGGAGUGGAUUAAGACAUGUCUACAUGGAAAGCAUAAAGCAUAAAACAUGUGUGAUGUGGAUGAGAGAGGAAAACAUAAAGCAUAACACAUAAAGCAACAUGAGCAUAUGGUCCUCCUUGUACCUUGGACGAAAUUCACACAAAGAGACCACCUAGUCUACUCCAUUUUUGUCAUCUUAUGUAUUAGGUUUAACCUAGUUUCUAGAGGCUAGAGUUUUGUAAUUGUUUAGCUACCCUUUUGCACUUUUGGUUUUUGUUUAGAGGCCCCUAUAACUUUCUAUUUAAGGGGUGCUCUUUGACAUGUACGAUGGUUGAUCAAUUUGAGUAUUUUCUAUAUUGUUUCAACCACAUUUUCGUGAGCUUUUCCUCCAAGGAGUGGAGGUUCUCCUUUGCCUUGUCUUAAGUAAUCAAGUGACGACACAACAUCACUUAUCUCCAAGGGUUGGUUAGCCUUAUGGCCCCACUAUGAGUGGCAUGCUCCCUUGCUCCAUUACCAUCUUCUUAUGCUUCCAUAUUCUUCUUGUUUUCCUUCAUUUUAA